RNAcentral lists this ribosomal RNA (465 nucleotides) under uncultured bacterium. Its description in RNAcentral is "partial 16S ribosomal RNA". It matches the Rfam family "Bacterial small subunit ribosomal RNA", at positions 338 to 795 of the family's 1533-position model. The record is from RNAcentral.
CCUACGUGAGGCAGCAGUAGGGAAUCUUCCGCAAUGGGCGAAAGCCUGAUGGAGCAACGCCGCGUGGGUGAAGAAGGUCUUCGGAUCGUAAAACCCUGUUGUUAGAGAAGAACGUGCGUGAGAGUAACUGUUCACGUUUCGACGGUAUCUAACCAGAAAGCCACGGCUAACUACGUGCCAGCAGCCGCGGUAAUACGUAGGUGGCAAGCGUUAUCCGGAUUUAUUGGGCGUAAAGGGAACGCAGGCGGUCUUUUAAGUCUGAUGUGAAAGCCUUCGGCUUAACCGGAGUAGUUCAUUUGAAACUGGGGAACUUGAGUGCAGAAGAGGAGAGUGGAAAUGCAUGGGUAGCGGUGAAAUGCGUAGAUAUAUGGAAGAACACCAGUGGCGAAAGCGGCUCUCUGGUCUGUAACUGACGCUGAGGUUCGAAAGCGUGGGUAGCAAACAGGAUUAGAUACCCUAGUAGUC